CUUCAGUGCCUCACCGAAUGACGUUUAGAUCUGCGCCUCAGGGAUUUUUAACUCCCCAGGAUGGGCCUUUCUACCCUGUGGCUCUGUAAGGUCUGGAUAUUCUGAGGGGUCUGUGGAAUUCUGCGGGUCUCUUUCUAUGUGGCUGCUUGUGGGGUUGAUCUCAACUAUGGGCGGGGCUGUAUUCCUGUCCCUUUGGAAAGUUCUGUGCUGUUUUCUGCUCUUUAGUCAUCUAGUAUCUUUUCCCACGUGAUGACUUUCAACAGCUUUUUUUUGGAUGUAAUUUAAUACUGUAUAAAGAGGAGACUUAGAAACAACUGUCUCAACAGGCUAAAGACGGACAGUUUUAGUAACAGCCACAGCCUCGUCUUCCUUCCUUAUCACUUGAAAUGGUCACUUACACUUCUGCCAGAUAACACCUGUGAAAGGCAGGGGUCUCCUUCCUCUGAAUGUGUUUACUGAUUUCCUGGAGGUCACCGGGUCGUUGUUCAGUAAGAACAAGAAAGAGCUUCUGCCAGUGUUUUCCACUCUCUUCGGAAGACAGAGGAUCUUUCUCCGGGGGCUACCAUGGACUCCCAGGGUUUAGAAUAUUCAGUUCCUCAGAUCCCUGUUUAUGGUAGAAUCAUAAGACCCUGCAGAAGAUUCGCAGACACAAGAAACAGUGGCACAGAGCAUGGCCCUUUUCCUUCGUGGAGAAGCGUGCACUACCCACUCUCAGAAACCUUAGAGAUUUCAGGGAAGUCUAGCUGA
RNAcentral lists this long non-coding RNA (747 nucleotides) under Cercocebus atys (sooty mangabey). RNAcentral describes it as "lncRNA (ENSCATG00000045454.1)". Lineage: Eukaryota; Metazoa; Chordata; Mammalia; Primates; Cercopithecidae. The record is from RNAcentral.